UACGUAGGGUGCAAGCGUUAAUCGGAAUUACUGGGCGUAAGGCGUGCGCAGGCGGUUUUGUAAGUCUGACGUGAAAUCCCCGGGCUCAACCUGGGAAUUGCGUUGGAGACUGCAAGGCUGGAGUCUGGCAGAGGGGGGUAGAAUUCCACGUGUAGCAGUGAAAUGCGUAGAGAUGUGGAGGAACACCGAUGGCGAAGGCAGCCCCCUGGGUCAAGACUGACGCUCAUGCACGAAAGCGUGGGGAGCAAACAGG
This 253-nucleotide ribosomal RNA is filed under the name uncultured bacterium. Its description in RNAcentral is "partial 16S ribosomal RNA". It matches the Rfam family "Bacterial small subunit ribosomal RNA", at positions 524 to 776 of the family's 1533-position model. The record is from RNAcentral.